This 465-nucleotide ribosomal RNA is filed under the name Vreelandella stevensii. RNAcentral describes it as "partial 16S ribosomal RNA". It matches the Rfam family "Bacterial small subunit ribosomal RNA", at positions 338 to 795 of the family's 1533-position model. The record is from RNAcentral. Lineage: Bacteria; Pseudomonadati; Pseudomonadota; Gammaproteobacteria; Oceanospirillales; Halomonadaceae.
CCUACGGGGGGCUGCAGUGGGGAAUAUUGGACAAUGGGGGCAACCCUGAUCCAGCCAUGCCGCGUGUGUGAAGAAGGCCCUCGGGUUGUAAAGCACUUUCAGUGAGGAAGAACGCCUGGUGGUUAAUACCCAUCAGGAAAGACAUCACUCACAGAAGAAGCACCGGCUAACUCCGUGCCAGCAGCCGCGGUAAUACGGAGGGUGCGAGCGUUAAUCGGAAUUACUGGGCGUAAAGCGCGCGUAGGUGGCUUGAUAAGCCGGUUGUGAAAGCCCCGGGCUCAACCUGGGAACGGCAUCCGGAACUGUCAAGCUAGAGUGCAGGAGAGGAAGGUAGAAUUCCCGGUGUAGCGGUGAAAUGCGUAGAGAUCGGGAGGAAUACCAGUGGCGAAGGCGGCCUUCUGGACUGACACUGACACUGAGGUGCGAAAGCGUGGGUAGCAAACAGGAUUAGAUACCCGGGUAGUC